RNAcentral lists this ribosomal RNA (253 nucleotides) under uncultured bacterium. RNAcentral describes it as "partial 16S ribosomal RNA". It matches the Rfam family "Bacterial small subunit ribosomal RNA", at positions 524 to 776 of the family's 1533-position model. The record is from RNAcentral.
UACAGAGGUCCCGAGCGUUGUUCGGAUUCACUGGGCGUAAAGGGUGCGUAGGUGGUUGGGUAAGUUUGAUGUGAAAGCUCAGGGCUUAACCCUGAAAUGGCAUUGAAUACUACUUAACUGGAGGUUUGGAGGGGGACUGGAAUUCUUGGUGUAGCAGUGAAAUGCGUAGAUAUCAAGAGGAACACCAGUGGCGAAAGGCGAGUCCCUGGACAACACCUGACACUGAGGCACGAAAGCUAGGGGAGCAAACAGG